This 240-nucleotide ribosomal RNA is filed under the name uncultured bacterium. RNAcentral describes it as "partial 16S ribosomal RNA". It matches the Rfam family "Bacterial small subunit ribosomal RNA", at positions 678 to 916 of the family's 1533-position model. The record is from RNAcentral.
GCGGUGAAAUGCGUAGAUAUCGGGAGGAACACCAGUGGCGAAGGCGGGCACCUGGGCUAACACUGACGCUGAUGCGCGGAAGCUAGGGGAGCAAACAGGAUUAGAUACCCUGGUAGUCCUAGCCUUAAACGAUGAUGACUUGGUGUGUCGGGUUUUCAGUCCCGAUGUGCCGGAGCUAACGCGUUAAGUCAUCCGCCUGGGGAGUACGGUCGCAAGACUGAAACUCAAAUGAAUUGACGG